RNAcentral lists this ribosomal RNA (253 nucleotides) under uncultured bacterium. Its description in RNAcentral is "partial 16S ribosomal RNA". It matches the Rfam family "Bacterial small subunit ribosomal RNA", at positions 524 to 776 of the family's 1533-position model. The record is from RNAcentral.
UACGAAGGGGGCUAGCGUUGCUCGGAAUCACUGGGCGUAAAGCGCACGUAGGCGGCUUGUUAAGUCAGGGGUGAAAUCCUGGAGCUCAACUCCAGAACUGCCUUUGAUACUGGCGAGCUCGAGUCCGGGAGAGGUGAGUGGAACUGCGAGUGUAGAGGUGAAAUUCGUAGAUAUUAGGAAGAACACCAGUGGCGAAGGCGGCUCACUGGCCCGGUACUGACGCUGAGGCGCGAAAGCGUGGGGAGCAAACAGG